GAUGAACGCUGGCGGCGUGCUUAACACAUGCAAGUCGAACGAUGAAGCCCAGCUUGCUGGGUGGAUUAGUGGCGAACGGGUGAGUAACACGUGAGUAACCUGCCCUUAACUCUGGGAUAAGCCUGGGAAACUGGGUCUAAUACCGGAUAGGAGCGUCCACCGCAUGGUGGGUGUUGGAAAGAUUUAUCGGUUUUGGAUGGACUCGCGGCCUAUCAGCUUGUUGGUGAGGUAAUGGCUCACCAAGGCGACGACGGGUAGCCGGCCUGAGAGGGUGACCGGCCACACUGGGACUGAGAAACGGCCCAGACUCCUACGGGAGGCAGCAGUGGGGAAUAUUGCACAAUGGGCGAAAGCCUGAUGCAGCGACGCCGCGUGAGGGAUGACGGCCUUCGGGUUGUAAACCUCUUUCAGUAGGGAAGAAGCGAAAGUGACGGUACCUGCAGAAGAAGCACCGGCUAACUACGUG
This 466-nucleotide ribosomal RNA is filed under the name uncultured bacterium. RNAcentral describes it as "partial 16S ribosomal RNA". It matches the Rfam family "Bacterial small subunit ribosomal RNA", at positions 28 to 507 of the family's 1533-position model. The record is from RNAcentral.